RNAcentral lists this ribosomal RNA (402 nucleotides) under uncultured bacterium. RNAcentral describes it as "bacterial SSU rRNA". It matches the Rfam family "Bacterial small subunit ribosomal RNA", at positions 917 to 1322 of the family's 1533-position model. The record is from RNAcentral.
GGGCCCGCACAAGCGGCGGAGCAUGCGGAUUAAUUCGAUGCAACGCGAAGAACCUUACCAAGGCUUGACAUAUAGAGGAAAAGUGCAGAAAUGCACUCCCCGCAAGGUCUCUAUACAGGUGGUGCAUGGUUGUCGUCAGCUCGUGUCGUGAGAUGUUGGGUUAAGUCCCGCAACGAGCGCAACCCUCGUCCUAUGUUGCCAGCACGUAAUGGUGGGAACUCAUGGGAUACUGCCGGGGUCAACUCGGAGGAAGGUGGGGAUGACGUCAAAUCAUCAUGCCCCUUAUGUCUUGGGCUUCACGCAUGCUACAAUGGCCGGUACAGAGGGCUGCAAUACCGCAAGGUGGAGCGAAUCUUCAAAACCGGUCUCAGUUCGGAUCGCAGUCUGCAACUCGACUGCGUG